Molecule: ribosomal RNA, 602 nt
Filed under: fungal sp.
Lineage: Eukaryota; Fungi
Description: eukaryotic LSU rRNA
Rfam family: Eukaryotic large subunit ribosomal RNA
Source: RNAcentral
ACCCCCCCACUCUCUUCCUGCAUAUCAAUAAGCGGAGGAAAAGAAACCAACAGGGAUUGCCCUAGUAACGGCGAGUGAAGCGGCAACAGCUCAAAUUUGAAAUCUGGCCCUCGGGUCCGAGUUGUAAUGAGUAGGGGAUGCCUUUGGUGAGGUGCCAUCCGAGUUCCCUGGAACGGGACGCCAUAGAGGGUGAGAGCCCCGUCUGGUUGGACACCAAACCUCAGUAAAGCUCCUUCGACGAGUCGAGUAGUUGGGGAAUGCUGCUAUAAAUGGGAAGUAUAUGUCUUAAAAAGCUAAAUAUUGGCCAGAGACCGAUAGCGCACAAGUAGAGUGAUCGAAAGAUGAAAAGCACUUUGAAAAGAGGGUUAAAUAGUACGUGAAAUUAAGAAAGGGAAGCGCUUGUGACCAGAGCUGAGCCCGGUUAAUCAUCCAGCCUUCUGGCUGGUGCACGUGGCCGGCUCAGGCCAGCAUCAGUUCGGCGUGGGGGAUAAAGGUUUUGGGAAUCUGGCUCCUCCGGGAGUGUUAUAGCCCGGUGCGCAAUCCCCCGUACCGGAUUGAGGUUCUCGGUUCUCCACGUGCCAGCCCAGCUUAGAUCCCCGGUU